RNAcentral lists this ribosomal RNA (253 nucleotides) under uncultured bacterium. Its description in RNAcentral is "partial 16S ribosomal RNA". It matches the Rfam family "Bacterial small subunit ribosomal RNA", at positions 524 to 776 of the family's 1533-position model. The record is from RNAcentral.
UACGAAGGGGGCGAGCGUUGUCCGGAAUUAUUGGGCGUAAAGAGCUCGUAGGUGGCUUGUCACGUCGGGUGUGAAAGCUUGGGGCUUAACUCCAGGUCUGCAUUCGAUACGGGCUGGCUAGAGGUAGGUAGGGGAGAACGGAAUUCCUGGUGUAGCGGUGAAAUGCGCAGAUAUCAGGAGGAACACCGGUGGCGAAGGCGGUUCUCUGGGCCUUACCUGACGCUGAGGAGCGAAAGCGUGGGGAGCGAACAGG